UUUUUCUUCUUUAUCCAAUUUAAUAUUUUUUUAUUAUAAAUAUUUUAAAUAUAUAAUUUUUUAUACGUGAAUUUUAAAAUCUAACAUAUAAACCGGUUUGAUAGUAAAAAUAAAAUUUUAAAAGUUUGAAUAGAUGAUUAAAAAUAAUUUAUCAUUUAGAAAAAUUUUAUACGAUUUUAUUUUUAAAUUUUAAUAUCAAACUUUAAAAUUAUAUUACAAUCUAAUAAGCGAUCAAUUUUACAUUUAUAAUUUGUGAAAUAUUCAAAAUAUAAUUGGUCAACUUUUAAUUUUAACAAUUACGCAUUAUAAAAUUUGUUAGAUAGUUUAAUAUUUGUGUUUCUCGAAUAACAUAACUAAUUGGACAAAAUCGAUGCUUAACUUUAUCUUCAUUUGGAAUAAUUAUACCUUUGGUCUUCAAAUUAGUAAGAUUUAUGACAAUUGUCCCAAUUAUGUUUUUAAACAAAUAUUAUGAUCAAAUUGCUUACACUUUUUAUUUUAGUUUGAUUUUGAGGCCCAUAUGAUACUAUUAGAUAAAAUGAAGUUGGGAUAAAAGUAUUUAAGAUCCACUUCUGUAUUUAUAGAUAGAACAGCAGAAAAUAUAUUGUAACCGACUAAUCGUUAAUAUGCAGAACGCAAUAUUACGUACGAAAAAAAAAGAAGAUAUUUUCCAAUCGUAGUUUCUCACCACAAACCUCCCAUAAUCCCAAAUAAAGCUUAAGACCCUUCACAAUUAUUCUAAAUAUUUUUGUAAACAAAUAUUAUUAUCAAAUUACUUAAUUAAAUAUCAUUAAUAUGUAUAUAUCAUAUUAUGUAUUACUUAUUUCAAUUAUUUAAUACUAAUAUUAUUGGCCCUUUACUUAUAUAAUAUAGAGAGAGAGAGAGUUAUUUUUUUAUGAUGAAUGAAGUUCGAUCUAUUAUUAGAUGUUUAGGAUUGUAUAAGAGAUAGAACAUUCGGUGUUAGUGGUUCUGCCACACUUUAAAAAGACCCGAUUUGAAUCCUGCACUCAUAUUUUAAUUGUACCGUAGUUUUAAUUAUACCGUAGACCGACUCUAAAUUAUAUGUCAAAUAUAUAUUUAUAUUAUAUAAUAAAUUAUUUAAGUAUUUUAUAUUAUAUUUUAUUUUAUUAAAUUUUGUUUUAAUUAUUUCAUAUACUAUACG
RNAcentral lists this long non-coding RNA (1159 nucleotides) under Ananas comosus (pineapple). RNAcentral's name for it is "long non-coding RNA (ACOM_LNC033646)". The record is from RNAcentral. Lineage: Eukaryota; Viridiplantae; Streptophyta; Magnoliopsida; Poales; Bromeliaceae.